GUGCUCACUUCAGCAGCACACACAUUAACAUUGGAAUGACACAGAGAAGAUUAGCAUGGUCCCUGUGCAAGGAUGACAUGCAAAUUCCUGAAGUGUUCCAUAUUUUU
This is a small nuclear RNA of Macaca fascicularis (crab-eating macaque), 107 nucleotides long. Lineage: Eukaryota; Metazoa; Chordata; Mammalia; Primates; Cercopithecidae. The record is from Ensembl.